CCACGAUAAAGGCUAAGCCGUCGAAAGACGGUGGCGCAAAGCCAUGGGUCUAAAGCUUAUUGCUAUGAUCGCCAGGCUGCCGAA
Molecule: non-coding RNA, 84 nt
Filed under: Thermincola sp.
Lineage: Bacteria; Bacillati; Bacillota; Clostridia; Eubacteriales; Thermincolaceae
Description: c-di-GMP sequence
Rfam family: c-di-GMP-I riboswitch aptamer
About the family: GEMM was predicted in a large-scale screen for bacterial structured RNA regulatory elements. Genes associated with GEMM are involved in a diverse array of functions, including chemotaxis regulation, signal transduction, secretion and chitin.
Source: RNAcentral